UCCCUGAUAGCUCAGUUGGUAAAGAAUCUGCCUGCAAUGCAAAAGGCCCUGGUUUGAUUCCUGGGUCGGGAA
This 72-nucleotide transfer RNA is filed under the name Bos taurus (domestic cattle). It matches the Rfam family "tRNA". Rfam says of the family: Transfer RNA (tRNA) molecules are approximately 80 nucleotides in length. Their secondary structure includes four short double-helical elements and three loops (D, anti-codon, and T loops). RNAcentral also lists the same sequence under 2 other names. The record is from Rfam by way of RNAcentral. Lineage: Eukaryota; Metazoa; Chordata; Mammalia; Artiodactyla; Bovidae.